This 60-nucleotide transfer RNA is filed under the name Olavius algarvensis. Lineage: Eukaryota; Metazoa; Annelida; Clitellata; Tubificida; Naididae. The record is from RNAcentral.
UGCAAUUUAGUUUAUAAAGAACAAUUAACUUGCACUUAAUCAGUGAUUAUUCAAUUGCAU